CCCACUCGGCAGAGACCCCAGAAGGAGCCGGGGGCAGCAUCAGAGCCUGGGGCCUGGGCAGGGGUGCCCGAGAGCACAGCAGCUGCAGGCCAUUGGGAAGGCCAGAAGACAGGGAAUGGAAAGCCAGGGACGCAUGGAGUGACUCAGAGAAGGGACUAUUCAGCUGGGAGUCCUGCAUUUGCCCUUUGUGUUUCAUCCGGGGAUUUUGAAACCAGGUUUUUAUCUGGACCUCCCAGAGCUGCAUCUCCCUGGCCAGCCUCUUCCGCUCUUGAGAGCCCAAGUACUGGUGGUACCGGAAGACGGUCUCCAAGGCGCGGAACUACUCAGUGGUGAAGGCUGUGCGGACACUGGGGGCCCGCCAGGGGUUUGGCCCCUUACUCAACCCAACCACGGUCCUCUCCGGCGCAGGCCGAUUUGAGGACCUAGACUCCUUGAUGCUGACGGCCUGAGGGGGCUCCCGGGUGCCGGAUAUCUGACACAGGCCAGGGAGGCUCCCCUGGGAGACCUGGCAGGCCUGGAGGUGUGAGUCGGCUCUGAGCAGCUGCUCUGGGAGAGCCAGUCCACGGAGCCAAAGCUGGAGGGCAGCUGCCGGCCACAAGUUGGGGAGGAGGAGAGACGCAAGGCCGUCAGGUGGGCCGGAGGGAAGGCUGGGCGGGGCUGGCCAGGCGCAGGAUCUACCUGGGUGAUUUUUUUAAUCUAUAAAAUAAUAUUUGCUUUUAAUUUUUAAUGUUACUAUGUUGUCAAUAUAUUGUAAAGCUUAAACUCUUUUUCCUUAAGACCACGUAAUUUGAGUUUUUUUUAAUUUUUGCCAAUUAAAAGUGAGAUUACUUUGAUUUAA
Molecule: long non-coding RNA, 838 nt
Organism: Homo sapiens (human)
Lineage: Eukaryota; Metazoa; Chordata; Mammalia; Primates; Hominidae
Product: long intergenic non-protein coding RNA 2882
Source: Ensembl